This 21-nucleotide non-coding RNA is filed under the name Caenorhabditis elegans. The record is from RNAcentral. Lineage: Eukaryota; Metazoa; Nematoda; Chromadorea; Rhabditida; Rhabditidae.
UCAAGUUACGAUAUUUACAGU